Molecule: long non-coding RNA, 213 nt
Filed under: Lupinus angustifolius (narrow-leaved blue lupine)
Lineage: Eukaryota; Viridiplantae; Streptophyta; Magnoliopsida; Fabales; Fabaceae
Description: long non-coding RNA (LANG_LNC001762)
Source: RNAcentral
AUAUAUAUUCAUAUGAUGAUUGUGGUUGAUCAGCACCAAAGGGAAUCAUUGCAUACGCACUGAGGUUCAUUUAUGUGGUUUCAACUAUAUCGUUUUUUUCUUUCAGAUUUUUGUUUUUUGUUGUUGAUAAACUUUCACACCUUAUGAUUUUGACUUUGGUGUAGGACACUUUCUGGGAGUUUAGAGAAAGAGAUAGGAAGGGGUAGAGGAACA